This 237-nucleotide ribosomal RNA is filed under the name uncultured bacterium. Its description in RNAcentral is "partial 16S ribosomal RNA". It matches the Rfam family "Bacterial small subunit ribosomal RNA", at positions 100 to 334 of the family's 1533-position model. The record is from RNAcentral.
CCGGCACGGGUGAGUAACACGUAUCCAACCUGCCGUCUACUCUUGGACAGCCUUCUGAAAGGAAGAUUAAUACAAGAUGGCAUCAUGAGUCCGCGUGUUCGCAUGAUUAAAGGUAUUCCGGUAGACGAUGGGGAUGCGUUCCAUUAGAUAGUAGGCGGGGUAACGGCCCACCUAGUCUUCGAUGGAUAGGGGUUCUGAGAGGAAGGUCCCCCACAUUGGAACUGAGACACGGUCCAA